GACGAACGCUGGCGGCGUGCUUAACACAUGCAAGUCGAACGGAAAGGCCCUGCUUUUGUGGGGUGCUCGAGUGGCGAACGGGUGAGUAACACGUGAGUAACCUGCCCUUGACUUUGGGAUAACUUCAGGAAACUGGGGCUAAUACCGGAUAGGAGCUCCUGCUGCAUGGUGGGGGUUGGAAAGUUUCGGCGGUUGGGGAUGGACUCGCGGCUUAUCAGCUUGUUGGUGGGGUAGUGGCUUACCAAGGCUUUGACGGGUAGCCGGCCUGAGAGGGGGACCGGCCACAUUGGGACUAAGAUACGGCCCAGACUCCAACGGGAGGCAGCGGUGGGGAAUAUUGCACAAUGGGCGGAAGCCUGAUGCAGCAACGCCGCGUGCGGGAUGACGGCCUUCGGGUUGUAAACCGCUUUCGCCUGUGACGAAGCGUGAGUGACGGUAAUGGGUAAAGAAGCACCGGCUAACUACGUG
This 468-nucleotide ribosomal RNA is filed under the name uncultured bacterium. RNAcentral's name for it is "partial 16S ribosomal RNA". It matches the Rfam family "Bacterial small subunit ribosomal RNA", at positions 28 to 507 of the family's 1533-position model. The record is from RNAcentral.